Molecule: long non-coding RNA, 292 nt
Organism: Eurytemora carolleeae
Lineage: Eukaryota; Metazoa; Arthropoda; Copepoda; Calanoida; Temoridae
Exons: 2
Source: RefSeq, a predicted model, not a curated record
UGUUUAGAGCUUGGAUAUGAGAAUGUAGUUGUGUAUAAGGGAAGCUGGCUGGAAUGGACCAGCAAGGGGGCUAAGGUUGCUAAGCCUGAAUAAACAUCGAUAAUCAGCCUGAAGAACCAUUCAAGCAUUUAAAUUCAAGCAACCGUCAAGAAACAACCUUCAAAAGCGUACUGCAGAUCAGUCAUAAUUGUUCUGCACAAGUUUAAAUCAAAAUCACAAGAAAAUACUGUUAUGUUUUAUUCACAUAAACUGUCUUAACAUGUUAUCUCACUAAAUUAUAAUUUAUUAUUUA